Long non-coding RNA from Acanthochromis polyacanthus (spiny chromis), 1811 nucleotides. RefSeq lists it as uncharacterized. The record is from RefSeq and is a predicted model, not a curated record. The transcript has 3 exons. NCBI's taxonomy places the organism in Eukaryota, Metazoa, Chordata, Actinopteri, Pomacentridae.
UAAUGUACACACAAUCAAUACACAAUCGGCAGAAAAACACACAACGCAGUGCUCAGUGGGUCAACAUUAACAACACAAUCAAUACACAAUCGGUAGAAAAGCACACAGUCAACACAAACCCAGCAGCUCCCUGGAAGAGGACACUUUUCACAUCAGUCGCCUCCAUUGAAGCUGCUGCUGUUCUGAAGUUCAUCACUAAAGUCCAGAGAAUCCAGCUGCUGAGAACAUUAACUCCACAGAUGUUUGUCAUCUGUUAUUAUAUAUAGACUCUCAUGUCAGUAGAACCUGACAGGUUAAAGGUUGACUGGACAGGGUUCCAGUUUUUAGAUAUUUAGAAAUGACACACGUCCAAGAUGAAUGUUUUUUCAACAUGAGACCAAAAUAGUUCAAAAUGUUCAUAGAGGUCUAGGUGUUCAUAGAGGUCUAGGUGUUCAUAGAGGUCUAGGCGUUCAUAGAGGUCUAGGCGUUCAUAGAGGUCUAGGCGUUCAUAGAGGUCUAGCUGUUCAUAGAGGUCUUGGUGUUCAUAGAGGUCUAGGCGUUCAUAGAGGUCUAGGCGUUCAUAGAGGUCUAGGCGUUCAUAGAGGUCUAGGCGUUCAUAGAGGUCUAGCUGUUCAUAGAGGUCUUGGUGUUCAUAGAGGUCUAGGCGUUCAUAGAGGUCUAGGCGUUCAUAGAGGUCUAGGCGUUCAUAGAGGUCUAGGCGUUCAUAGAGGUCUAGGCGUUCAUAGAGGUCUAGGCGUUCAUAGAGGUCUAGGUGUUCAUAGAGGUCUAGAUGUUGGUGUUCUUCAGGGUCGAGGUCUCUGAUGCUGACAUAAUAAACAUAUAUUAAAUAUCUACAGAGUGGAAUAAUUUCAGAUGAUGAAAUGUUGUUGAUGUAAUUACAGGAUAAUAAAUUAACAGAAGAGUUUAUUAGAGUCUGACGUUGGUUUUUAUUCCGGUCAGUUGGUAACAAGUUUAAAGAAGUGACCAGAGAAGAACAAAGUCCUCUGUGUUUAAUGAGAGUCAUAAAUAUGAAGUAAUGACUGUUGGUCUUAUUUUAGCUUCUUUAUGUUCACAUCUGAGGUUCAAACAUCUCAGAUUGAUGCUAAUUUAUGCUUCAUUUAGCAGCACGUCUCUGUGAACAUCAGCAUGUUGGUGUUGGAGGACACGAGGUCAUUUGUCUCAUGUUUUUUGUCAUGUUUUGUCUUGUUUUUUUCCCCCUUUUUUAGUAAUUUCUCUCGUGUUUUUGUUGUUUUGUUUCCCAAAAAUGUUGAAAAUGUGGAGAUCAGAAGUUUCACUGUGAAAAUAUAGAUUUUUAUAGACAUCAGGGUUAAAAAACUAAUAACAGGAAGAGGAGCCUCAGAUCUGAUUCUGGUGGAAGACCUGAGGAGGAAUUCAUGAAUGAAUCCAGAGACGCUGCAGACUGGAGGUUCUGGUCCAGGUCUGACGUGGUUCUGGAUGGUUCUGGUCCAGGUCUCUAACAGCCUCCACAUGUUGUUCCAGAUGUUUCUCAGAUGACAUCAGACUCUCCCUGCCUCCAGGGUUUUUAUUCACAGCUCAAAAAUUCGAACAACGAAGAUUCAGAGUUUUUAUCUGAGAGACGUUCAGAUUUGAUCUCUGAGCUCGUGGAUGUGAAGACAAACCUGGGAGAGACAUCAGUCAUAAUAAAACAACAACAACAAUUAUAACCUGAAAGACACAUGUGUGCAUUAAGAACUGAAGUCAAUCAAUUCUAAGUUAUUCUUAGAUAUUUCUGCUGUUGAAUUACAUGUAAUAAUCAUUUUUUGACAAUUAUUUUAUAAUUUUUGUUAAAUUAUUGAUGAUAUCUUGUAAAA